UAGGAGCCUUUGGGACAGGUAGGCUUUCAGGAACAGAAACUGAAUCCUGAAUUCAACAGCUGUUGUCAGAUUUUGUUCAAGAUCCAUAAUCUGCUUGGAUCUGCUUUUUCUUCCCUUUAUCACAGAUGUUAUCUGGGCCUGUCUGUUAGAGAAUCCAGUCAUGAGAGAACAAGGUUGUGCAAACCCAGCAGUAGCCCAGCCAGUGCAAAGCAGUUGAAUGAGUCACAGCCUUUGCGGCAUACAGUGGAUGCAAUUGGAGAUUCAUGUUCACACCAAGAAAUGCAGCCUUGUUCUAUACUUGCUGACAACUGGAGACAGAGAAAUUAAAGGCAACUGUUGCUCCAGGAGCCCAUACUGUGUGCUUCAGUCUACCCAAGAGGAACAAAGACGGAUGAGGGCAGAGGGCAGAAGAGGCAUCAGUGACAGAAGACAUCAGAGGGCCACUCCUAGUUGCAUCUGA
Molecule: long non-coding RNA, 460 nt
Filed under: Numida meleagris (helmeted guineafowl)
Lineage: Eukaryota; Metazoa; Chordata; Aves; Galliformes; Numididae
Description: lncRNA (ENSNMEG00000021519.1)
Source: RNAcentral